UAUUAGUUUUGUAAUUAACUCAUAUUUAAUCCUUCUAAUUAGCAUCCGAACAUCCGAUGUGACAGCGCUAAAGUUUAACAUGAUAUCCAAAUGCCCCCUAACUCGCGCGGCAAUGGCGUGGGCCCUACACCAUAUUGAUCUUCCCUUACACGUGGGACCACUGUUAGCCUCCAACGUGUCAGGCGCGCGGCUCGACGGAAACGGACAAACCGAUGAGCUCUCUUUCUUGGUUUCCUUCUCCCUCUUUCCUUUAUCUUCCUUUUGCUUUUCCCAGUUGCCACUCCUUUUUCCCUUUCCUUUCCCAUUCGCAAAGUAGGAUCCGUCAGGGUUAUUGCCGACCAAUAUGGAAGAGUAGCAUACUAAUCAGACUGUGUUUUGGGAUGCAGAAAUCACCUGGCUUCAGGUCUACAGAGCAAUAAAAGAAAGUGCCAAGGCAAGCAUUUUGGUCACCCUCGAAACUCCAUUUGUGGUAAUCUUAAUUGCAAAACCCUAAGGGCUCCUUUGGGAACAGAAAAUCCCGCCGGGUUCCUGUGAUUUCCCUGUGUGGGCUCUCCACGCGAAUUCCGUUCCCAGGCUAAAUUUCCCUGGUAUUUCCCGAAUUCACUUCCUCAAGCCUCACCAAUGUUCAUCGUGUAGACCUUUUUGCAGACUAGAUCAUGUUCCCGAAUUCACUGUUAAUUGGCAUCAAGAUAUUGUGCUAUUGAACGCCGCCGUGGACAUCUCGACCUGCGACACAUCGGCUCCGCAUUCCCGUCUACAACACCGCCGCUCGCCUCAGCCAUCUCCGUCCAGGUGACUGCAAUAUCGCCGCUCCCCUCCCCAUCUCGAUCUACAGGGACAUCUCCACGUCGGCAUCACUCACCAAUGCACCUCCACCUCGACUUCCUCAUCUACCACUCCGGCAGUUCCAGCUCUCAAAGGUCGUCUUCUACGCCAUCUCUCCUCCGGAGUUUAUCUCGCAUGGUCUUUGCAAUUGUUCUCAGAUAUUUGCUGUUUACAGAGCACAGGAGUUUGAGGAAGGCAAAUGGGAGGGAGAUUUUUGCUGUUUGCUCGUCAAUGAAAUAUUUGCUUGUGCUUUUUUACAAUUUGUGGUCUUCGUCAGAACAAACCUAGUAGCACCUUUGUAAUGCUAGUCACAAAACAUGUUUUGUAAGCUCAUUUGAGGUACAGCCGUAGUGUCUCUGACCAGAUCAGGAUUUGAGGUACAACUGCAAACUUUGCACCAAUUUUGCAUAUGUGAAGAAACAAAGAAAAAGAGAGCAUUGGUUUCAGCCAAGAGAGAGGUAGCAGGUAGAAAAACUGAAAUUUGCAGCAAGUAGUUAAACAACUCUUUUUCAUCAGUGAAACAAAUUUUGCUUACACUGUACGCUAUUUGAAUGAGGUGUUGUGACUUCCUUCAGUACAUUGUUGUUUUUCACAUAUGGGUAUAUAUUUGCAUCAAUUGAUUUGUUUUAGACCAUUGCCAGCACUUCCUAUAUUAUUCUAAAAAGUCAUUAGACGCUACAGCUAUAAGUUAUCUGCAGAACUGGUGUUUCAUUUUUGCCUAAUAUUACCUUGUGCACAAUUGUCAUGAUCUUUUAUUAUUUAUCUAAUUGUAGAUGUCUUAGGGAUCACAGCAACGAGGGGAUUCUUGAAGGAUUGACUAGCUUGUCGAGGACAUCGCUUCUCUAAUCAGGUACUGUCAUUACAGUAUGCCUUGGUUAUGUCCGAUCCUAUCAGGUACUAGCUAACUACAAGGAGAUGCUGAGAAUGGCAGAUUCCACGUCCUGUACAUGACACCCGAAAGAGCAACAUCUUUACCCAGCAGGUUUCCUCGGGCAAAUCUCUGACAACGGUGGUAUGAAGAAAACGCCAUGUGCUUUACCAUAUGAUAUUGUGUAGUGUAGUAGCCAUCAAUUCUUAUGCAUCAUCUAGGGCAAGAAGGGUUAUGUAGGACUGAAGUUCUGUAUGAUAACUCUUUGGAGGCAAUGUUGUGCUCAUUUGUCUUCCAGUUAUGGAAAUGUUUUUUUUUCAAUUUGUGGUCAAAUGACUUGCUGUAGACAUACGGUGUACCAUUGCAAUGGCCUGAUGAUUUGGUGGUAGAUCUUGCUUCUUUAUC
Molecule: long non-coding RNA, 2098 nt
Organism: Setaria italica (foxtail millet)
Lineage: Eukaryota; Viridiplantae; Streptophyta; Magnoliopsida; Poales; Poaceae
Exons: 3
Source: RefSeq, a predicted model, not a curated record